RNAcentral lists this ribosomal RNA (253 nucleotides) under uncultured bacterium. RNAcentral describes it as "partial 16S ribosomal RNA". It matches the Rfam family "Bacterial small subunit ribosomal RNA", at positions 524 to 776 of the family's 1533-position model. The record is from RNAcentral.
UACGGAGGGGGCUAGCGUUGUUCGGAAUUACUGGGCGUAAAGCGCACGUAGGCGGCUUUGUAAGUUAGAGGUGAAAGCCCAGGACUUAACCCUGGAAUUGCCUUUAAGACUGCAUCGCUAGAAUUGUGGAGAGGUAAGUGGAAUUCCGAGUGUAGAGGUGAAAUUCGUAGAUAUUCGGAAGAACACCAGUGGCGAAGGCGACUUACUGGACACAUAUUGACGCUGAGGUGCGAAAGCGUGGGGAGCAAACAGG